This 547-nucleotide ribosomal RNA is filed under the name uncultured bacterium. RNAcentral describes it as "bacterial SSU rRNA". It matches the Rfam family "Bacterial small subunit ribosomal RNA", at positions 66 to 621 of the family's 1533-position model. The record is from RNAcentral.
GCGAUGAACUGACGAUAGCAAUAUCUGACGGGAUUAGCAGCGAACGGGUGAGUAACACGUAGGAAUCUGCCCCAAAGUUCGGAAUAGCCUGGCGAAAGUCAGGGUAAUACCGGAUGUGAUCUUCGGAUUAAAGGCUUCGGUCGCUUUGGGAUGAGCCUGCGUUCCAUCAGCUUGUUGGUAGGGUAAAAGCCUACCAAGGCGAAGACGGAUAGCUGGUCUGAGAGGACGGUCAGCCACAAUGGAACUGAGACACGGUCCAUACACCUACGGGUGGCAGCAGUCGAGAAUCAUUCGCAAUGGACGAAAGUCUGACGGUGCGACGCCGCGUGGGGGAUGAAGGCCUUAGGGUCGUAAACCCCUGUCGGGUGCGAGUAAGGUCCUACUUACGUAGGAAUUGAUAUUAGCAUCAAAGGAAGGGACGGCUAACUCCGUGCCAGCAGCCGCGGUAAUACGGAGGUCCCAAGCGUUGUUCGGAUUCACUGGGCGUAAAGCGUGCGUAGGCGGAGAAAUAAGUUUGGCGUGAAAGCCCCGGGCCCAACCCGGAAAU